Molecule: ribosomal RNA, 262 nt
Filed under: uncultured bacterium
Lineage: Bacteria
Description: partial 16S ribosomal RNA
Rfam family: Bacterial small subunit ribosomal RNA
Source: RNAcentral
GCCGCGGUAAUACGGGGGGUGCAAGCGUUGCUCGGAAUCACUGGGCGUAAAGCGUCCGCAGGCGGCUUGAUAAGUCGGGUGUGAAAGCCCUGGGCUCAACCUGGGAAUGGCAUUGGAUACUGGCAGGCUAGAGUGCGGUAGAGGGCAGUGGAAUUCCCGGUGUAGCAGUGAAAUGCGUAGAGAUCGGGAGGAACAUCUGUGGCGAAGGCGACUGCCUGGACCAGCACUGACACUGAGGCACGAAAGCGUGGGGAGCAAACAG